This 30-nucleotide non-coding RNA is filed under the name Macaca fascicularis (crab-eating macaque). Lineage: Eukaryota; Metazoa; Chordata; Mammalia; Primates; Cercopithecidae. RNAcentral also lists the same sequence under 1 other name. The record is from RNAcentral.
UGGGAGGAUCACAGGAUGUCAAGGCCUUGC